GUGGUUAAGACACCGGAUUCUGAUUCCGGUAUGCGUAGGUUCGAAUCCUACCUCCCCAG
Non-coding RNA from Snodgrassella alvi SCGC AB-598-P14, 59 nucleotides. The record is from Rfam. NCBI's taxonomy places the organism in Bacteria, Pseudomonadati, Pseudomonadota, Betaproteobacteria, Neisseriales, Neisseriaceae.